CAAGUUCAUUGAUAAUAAAGGUAAUAAUUAAUAAAUACUAAUUCUCACUCCUCCCUCUCCAUGAUCUCAUGUUUUGGUUCCUUAACCUAUCCUGAAGGCUUUAUUGCAGUACAUCAUAGAGAACUUCACACUAGCAGUCUUAAAUAAUUAUGAGAAGUAAUAUUUAAUCCUCCUUGCAUCUUGUAUCGAAUGCUGCAGAAUAACCUAAUGAAUGGGAGAAUAUGGUGGCAAGGGAGGCCAUUUUCCGAACUUGGGGUGGUGGAAGUACUUCGGAGGAAUCUUGGGGUAAGGAGGAAGCUUAGGAAGAGGAGGGCAUGGCUUCUUAUGAAAUGGAGGGAUCUUUGGGAUUGGAGGCAGUGGCUUAUAAAUUGGAACUGGAGGUGGUAAAGGCUUGUAGAUGGGAAUAGGAGGUGGUAGAGGCUUGAAGAUUGGUGGUUUUGGUUUUGGCUUGUAAAUUGGCACUGGAGGUGGCUUGAAGAUUGGUGGCUUUGGCUUAGGCUUGUAGAUGGGAAUAGGAGGUGGCAGAGGCUUGAAGAUUGGUGGUUUUGGUUUUGGCUUGUAAAUUGGCAAUGGAGGUGGCUUGAAGAUUGGUGGCUUUGGCUUGUAGAUCGGAACAUGAGGUAGAGGUGGCUUCUUGUAGAUUGGAGGGAAGACCUUUGGCGGGAGUGGAGGAUAGACCUUAGGUGGGAAUAGGUAAGGAUGGUGAAAGUUUUUCAAUGGUGGAAGUUUCCAUGUAGGCAAUGGAAGCGGUUUAGUUAUCGGUGGAUGAGGCCACAAGAAUGCAGAAGUGCAAGUAACAGGUGAAAAUUUCAGUUUCCCUGCGAGCCCGAAUGUGUG
RNAcentral lists this long non-coding RNA (837 nucleotides) under Populus tremula. RNAcentral describes it as "long non-coding RNA (PTRE_LNC002880)". Lineage: Eukaryota; Viridiplantae; Streptophyta; Magnoliopsida; Malpighiales; Salicaceae. The record is from RNAcentral.